GACUCCAACUCAAAAAAAAAUAAAAAAAAAAGAGGCUGAUACAGAAGGGUAAAGUAAGUCUCCACAAAACCUAGUGAAGAGAUGGGAAAACUUGUCUUUGGAUCAUGUCUGGGAGUCACAGCU
This 123-nucleotide small nucleolar RNA is filed under the name Carlito syrichta (Philippine tarsier). RNAcentral describes it as "Small nucleolar RNA SNORA26 (ENSTSYG00000021160.2)". It matches the Rfam family "Small nucleolar RNA SNORA26". From Rfam's summary of the family: The snoRNA HBI-6 belong to the H/ACA family of snoRNAs, guiding the pseudouridylation of position U4522 if the 28S rRNA. HBI-6 is the human orthologue of mouse MBI-6 snoRNA. The record is from Rfam by way of RNAcentral. Lineage: Eukaryota; Metazoa; Chordata; Mammalia; Primates; Tarsiidae.